Molecule: long non-coding RNA, 1176 nt
Organism: Chiroxiphia lanceolata (lance-tailed manakin)
Lineage: Eukaryota; Metazoa; Chordata; Aves; Passeriformes; Pipridae
Exons: 4
Source: RefSeq, a predicted model, not a curated record
CUGCUGCUUGAGGAGCAUCUCGUCUGUGUCCUGUGGCUGUUCAGCUGUGUGUGUUCGGCAUCAAGGCUUUGCCUUUCUAAUACAAAUAUUUUGAGCAACGAGGCUACUUACUGACAACAGGUUUUGUCUAUGCCGGUCCCGUUGCGGCAGCAGGGAGCGAUGUGUGAAGGCCUAGUGAGCACAGUAAAAAUCAGAGACCUUACAGUAAAGGAUAAUUUGGAUAUAAAGGGGAUUAAAAUUGAUUUGCUAUUCUCUGUGUGCUCAGUUUUAAUGGGCAACCAAUAUAUAUAUUCUAUGUUGGUAAACACGUGUUUUUACAAAGUCAGUUUCCAGUGUAUACAAAUAAAAGUGACCUCAUUCAGGCAGACACUAAUACUGACAAUGGCUACUGAUGCAGCAAGUUGAAGAGUUAAGUCCUGCUUGAAUUUCUGCAGGUAUAGAAGAUAAAAAAAACCCCAGAUAUGUCUGUAUCCAAAUAGAAAUCACAGGAGAGGCCAUCUUUCCUGGAGAGCCAUAUAUAUCAGCUGAGGGCUAUAAAUGUGAGAAGUAUUUGGGGAGCUUUUCCGCGCACGCAGCAUCUGCAAGUAAGAAAGCAGGGAGGGGAGAACACUGACCAAAAGGAGUGAGUUUGCAGUAGCAGUUAGGAGAGACAGGCAAGAGAAAAAAGGAGGAAAACUAGGAGAGAAGGAAAAGUAAAAAUGGUAAUAUUUACAAAGGGGUGGGUGAUGAUGACCUUUGUUUUGUCCUUUGCUCUGUUGAACCACAUUUUUCAACCAUGAGAAAUCUCAAAAUUACUUUAACAGGAACUCAGAGAUGGAAAGAGAAAAGUGACAUGCUGGAAGAGAGGUGGGCUGUUCCUUUAAGAAGGGCAGAGAAACUUCAUACAGCAAAAGGUUAGUCUGGCUUCCAGCAGAGGCAGAAGUGAAUAACAAGCCAAUCAACAUACAAAAUAUUGAACAGAGCAGCUCAGCCACAGCCAUCAGCCAAACAUGAGAUUAGUGUGUGGUUGCAGACAGGACGGAUCUUCCUGUCAUAACAUUUCUGAAUUGAGAAGAGCCAGACACUCUGAAGAGAUGAAAGAGAUCUGGGUUGAGGUCCCCAUCCAGAACUCGGGCACGACUAAGAACAGAGGCGCAGCCAUGAACCACAUAGCUGGGAGUCUCACCAAAGGUAAGG